UGGCUCUCGCAUCGAUGAAGAACGCAGCGAAAUGCGAUAAGUAAUGUGAAUUGCAGAAUUCAGUGAAUCAUCGAAUCUUUGAACGCACCUUGCACCCUUUGGUAUUCCGAGGGGUAUGCCUGUUUGAGUGUCAUUAAAUUCUCAAACUCAAUGUGGUUUUUAACCGUGUUGAGCUUGGAUGUGGAGGUUGCAGGCUUUAACAAGUCGGCUCUUCUUAAAUGCAUUAGUGGCUUGUCGAUCCCCAUUUUUUGGUGUGAUAGUAAUAUCUACAUCAUGAUGAAUGGCUAGGUCAUGCGAUGACAAUAUGGCUGCUUUCUAACCGUCCCUUGGGACAACUUGAACCAUUUGGCCUCAAAUCAGGUAGGACUACCCGCUGA
RNAcentral lists this unclassified non-coding RNA (377 nucleotides) under uncultured fungus. RNAcentral describes it as "partial contains 5.8S ribosomal RNA and internal transcribed spacer 2". The stretch from base 1 to 133 matches the Rfam family "5.8S ribosomal RNA", at positions 22 to 154 of the family's 154-position model. Lineage: Eukaryota; Fungi. The record is from RNAcentral.